RNAcentral lists this ribosomal RNA (253 nucleotides) under uncultured bacterium. RNAcentral describes it as "partial 16S ribosomal RNA". It matches the Rfam family "Bacterial small subunit ribosomal RNA", at positions 524 to 776 of the family's 1533-position model. The record is from RNAcentral.
UACGAAGGGGGCGAGCGUUGUUCGGAAUUACUGGGCGUAAAGGGCGCGCAGGCGGCCCUUGAAGUCAGGCGUGAAAGCCCCGGGCUCAACCUGGGAGGUGCGCUUGAUACUCGAGGGCUUGAGUGCGGGAGAGGAGAGUGGAAUUCCCAGUGUAGAGGUGAAAUUCGUAGAUAUUGGGAAGAACACCGGUGGCGAAGGCGGCUCUCUGGACCGUAACUGACGCUGAGGUGCGAAAGCGUGGGGAGCAAACAGG